Molecule: long non-coding RNA, 471 nt
Organism: Carassius carassius (crucian carp)
Lineage: Eukaryota; Metazoa; Chordata; Actinopteri; Cypriniformes; Cyprinidae
Exons: 3
Source: RefSeq, a predicted model, not a curated record
ACACGCUCGUGAGUGGGAGCAUUCACAACACAUCAUGUUGGUCAAAGUGAGAUUUGGUGAAACUCAGAAGUAUGUUAAAGUUGCCCAAACUGAAGAGGGCUAUGAAGACUACGAUACAUUUCUUCAGAAAGUCAUAGAAAAGUUAGGUCUUCCAUUGCAGACCGAGCUGCAUGUCACAGAUGAAUCUGGGACAGAAGUGGAUGCGGAUGUGUAUGAGGAGCUUUUAAAAGCAGGGAAUCUUAUCAUUCAUGUGUCCACAGAAACGUCUACAGGUAAGACUUUGCUCCGUUAGAGUGUUUGUUUUUCAAAGUUCAAUUAAAGCUGAACUAGCCUGUUGUGCCCUAAUAUGCUAGACCGUUUGGUUGUCAAGCCUAAAAUAAGUUGUUAGAGGUUCUUGAGCGUGUAUGUUUCUUUUAAAUGUCUUGCAGUUGUGCUUAAUCAAGAUCUCUCACAUUCUUCAUCAGAGUUGCU